UUCUGUUAUCAUCACAAUUAACUGCAAUGAACGUGCAGUAAUUUCUGGCACAAUCUCCUGCUUGACAAAAUAAAUCGAAAGUGCUAUAUUUAAUUUCAGAGCAGGGUUUCUUCUUCGCAGAUACACUGAAAUGUUUACACAGUUUGUUUCUUGGUUUCUAACUUGAUUUUCACAUUGGCAGGAUGCAACCGACGCUCUGUAGACUAACGGGAAAGGUUUGGACGGCAUAAGAUGCAUUAGUGCAUUCUCCAGCAUAUUUUUGAGACACGGAAACUUGAAGAGCGGAACUUUUUUUAUUUCCAUGUGCAGCAUUUUAUCUUUCGUUAACUAGUAACUGCACGCUUUUUAGGCCUACCUCAUAAACGAAGACUUUUUGACAUGGAAAGUGCGGUCGUGCUCUGAGGAGAGGCGAGAUCCCCUCUGCUGAAGCUGCAUGGACUUUUUCUGGAGAGCCCUGACGCGCAGGGCUCCGUUUUAUGAGGGUAAUUACUCCUAACAGAAAACAGAGACCACUGUACUGACGCAUUACAAAUCACAUGAAGCGAAGGAGCACGAAGUCUUCAGUGAUCUCUGACAACAGAUCCGUUAUCCGCAUAUAGGACAUAAUGCACUAAUGAAACAAAAGCCUGUGAUCUCUGAACGACUCCCUAAUGAGAUUCGCGCAAAACCGCCAAGUGUCAUAUUUUAAACUGAGGGGUUUUUUUGCAGAAGGGAAGCGUGUUGGAUGUGAUGUCUGCAGUCAUGAUUUUGAUUAACUUUUUUUUCUUCAUGUCGUGGGUGCAUUCACAUCGGGAGGCAGACAGACAGGCUGGAUGCUCUGCACGGCUGCACCUCCUCACGGUCUGUGAGUGAGUGUGAGAUAGCAACGAGCACUCAGUGUUCGGCCAAGGACAACAAGAAGUUCCUUUUGGACAGAGGGGCCAGUCAUGAAUCAGGUGUGAUACCUGCACCCAGCAUCAGCAGAACGCCAAACCAAACACACGCAAAAGUGGAGCUGUGCUCCAGCUCAACUUCUCUCUGUGUGGAAGUAAUUACUGAGGUGUUGAAGUUGUCACUUUUUCUUUGCUGUUAAAAACACAUUAAUUUGAAUGCUCGCACAGAAACACUAUUUCACCGAAGACGUUGACCUCUAAACAGGCUCUGUAGAUUUACCAGCUCACCUUUGUGAAGCACUUAAAUGUGCAUGUACUUGUUUGGCCAAUAAUGAUCACACCAACUCUUUCCAGUUCAGACGACUUCUCCGCAUAAGGUUUUGAUUUUCUGUUCGUUGUUAUAUUCUGGUCUCACUUCUGCCAUCUGACUGCUGUUCAGCUUCAUGAGAGGGUAUGACAGUUUCUCAAAAUGUAAUGAAUUAGCUAAAACAUUCAGCAAACAAGUUAAAAUGAAUAAUUUUCCUCAUAUUUUCCAGUCCGCAUUGGAGCACUCGCAGCUGUUAAAUGCAGCCAAAUGCAGUCAUGAGAAUGAACUCACCAUGUUUUUGAAGAGGUUAAUUAUUCCCAAAGAAUCAUGACACAAACAAAGAUGGCUUCUGGAAAUGACAGGUGCUUGUACCCGCUUGGUGACCACAGUUACAGGCAGCUGAGUCAGAAAAACUGUUCACAUCAGCCUCCUAGUUGUAAUUCCAAGAUAUUGGGAAUUACUCAUAGCAAUAAUAUUUCCCACUUGACGAAAAGAUCUACACAGGUCAACAUUGUGAAAGGCACCAUUGCUGGCAACUUCUUCUAAAUAAAAUCUAAUUCUGCUAAUUUAAAAUGAUAUAUUCUGUAUUUGUAUACAGUAUUUGUUUGAACCUGCAUUCACUUGUUAAUGUGACUACAAUGCAAGCAGUGGGGGUAACCAUCUUAGAAAAAUGCAUGAAUGCUCCUGAAAAAUAAAACCUGAAGGUUUUCGUAUCCCAAUGCAUGAAUGGCAUUACUCAUCCAGUUGCCAUCUUUGUUUAGGUCAAGGAAUUAUGUUAUAUCGUUCUUGUGAAACAGAUUAGAAACACUUGUUUGUUGUAAAUUGAGGGAAUAUUGUUAUACAGGCAGCAGAAAGGAGUCUUUGAAGGUCACGGGAUAUCUUCAAAAACAGCUUUGUUAAAUGACCUGACAAGACUGUUCAAGUUUUCAACUCAUUUUUGUUUGGCAAAAACAGUGGCUUAUUUCUGUGACUCCAGUGCAAUCAGCACUGCAUAUGCAUUUAAAACUGUAAAAAUGAUGAGUGCCUAUACAUUUGUAUUUGAAAAUUUUUACACAUUCACUGCAUUAAAUAAUGUGGUUCCAAA
This is a long non-coding RNA of Micropterus salmoides (largemouth bass), 2263 nucleotides long. RefSeq lists it as uncharacterized. The record is from RefSeq and is a predicted model, not a curated record. NCBI's taxonomy places the organism in Eukaryota, Metazoa, Chordata, Actinopteri, Centrarchiformes, Centrarchidae. The transcript is spliced from 2 exons.